GCCUGGAUGCCUCGUUGGGCGAUACGCCAUAUUGGCGCGGCAAUUGUGAAAUAGAAGAGUGAUAUCUCUUAGUGAACCGACUAUUUUCGAAACUGCAACAACAUGAGGAAUGUUAAAACUAGAAAACAGGGAACCACAUUUCACAGCCCUACGAUGGAAGACGUUGACCAUUCAGGAGAAGGUAAAACUUCUGGAUGUGCUUCGGGAAGGAAAGCGUUAUGCGGACGGCGUUCGCCAUUAUGGCUUGAAUGAAUCAACAGUAUGCUACAUGAAGAAGGAUGAAAAGAAUGUAAAAACAAUACACCGCCUCACAGGCCAGAGCCACAGCCUUCUCCUCUCUGCUGGGUGGAAGAACAACUCUCACACAGUGGAAGUCCUCCAGACCCCCUGCCUUCAGACAAUAGGUU
Long non-coding RNA from Brienomyrus brachyistius, 407 nucleotides. RefSeq lists it as uncharacterized. Lineage: Eukaryota; Metazoa; Chordata; Actinopteri; Osteoglossiformes; Mormyridae. The transcript has 3 exons. The record is from RefSeq and is a predicted model, not a curated record.